AGAUUUUGAUGAGGAGCAUCAAUCAUGAGUAAAUUUUAGUAUUUUGUCUGCUAACAACUAAUUUUGAAAGGGUGCGAUGCCGAAACAAUUCAUAAUAGCAGUUAUGAGUCGUUGGACUUUUUGGUUAAGAGCUGAAAGUUUGUCAUUAUUACUAAAUAAUGGAGUGCAUCACUUGUA
This is a non-coding RNA of Staphylococcus capitis, 177 nucleotides long. The record is from Rfam. Lineage: Bacteria; Bacillati; Bacillota; Bacilli; Caryophanales; Staphylococcaceae.